Long non-coding RNA from Populus nigra (black poplar), 2323 nucleotides. RefSeq lists it as uncharacterized. NCBI's taxonomy places the organism in Eukaryota, Viridiplantae, Streptophyta, Magnoliopsida, Malpighiales, Salicaceae. The transcript is spliced from 9 exons. The record is from RefSeq and is a predicted model, not a curated record.
UAAAACAUGAAACAAAAAGGCGGGAGUAUACGCAUUCGGAAGUCGGAACACGCUUGCUCAGCGCUGCUUCUUCUCUACGACUCUAACUUCUCUCCGGUCCACUACCGUAUUCUAAUCUUCCCCUUCUCUAAUCCUUUCUUCCCUAGAUAAACCAAUCUCCUCUCAUGGCGAAUACUGGCGAAGAUCCGACCCGGACAAUUAACCCUUCGCAAUUUCACUUUCAGUUACCUCACUCUCAUUCUCACUUUCAUAAUCAGAAUUUAUUUUCUUCUUCAAAUAAUUCAACGCCUUCAAAUAGACUCUUCCCUUCCUCUUUCCGUAAACCUCACCACCCGCCUCUCCCUCCUCCUCCUCCUGUUAACAAUGACACUUCUCUCGGCUUUCAAUUCCAGUUCCAACACGCACUCUGCAUUCCGUGAAGUCGCGUUGGGGACGAAAAGUGAAGGUGAUAAUCCUCAGUUUCAGACUGCUAGAGAUGCAACCAUGAACCAUCCGUGCUCAAAGUGAUAUAGUUACUGAUCAAACACUUGUUACUUGCUCUUCAGUCAUCUUCUGGGGGUGAGCGUAGAAGUAAGUCAAAGGUUCCGAAACAUGGCAAAUCAGUGACUGAAAGAUUGAAUGCCUAUUCUCUGAAUUCAGCUACUGGUUGUUGAUAUGACAAUUCUUUAGGUCCAAAAGAGGAGGAUGUAUGAUAUUACAAAUGUUCUGGAAGGGAUAGGAUUGAUAGAGAAAACUUCAAAAAAUCAUAUACGCUGGAAGGGAUAUGAUGAUUUUGAGCAGAAGAUAAUGGAUGAUCAUGCUGGAAUAAAGGCUGAAGUUGAAAGUUUAUAUACUGGAGUUCAGACUCGAUGAAUCUACAAGGGAUAGACGAGAACUUCUGAGAGGCCUGAAGGCGGAUGUGUUUCGUGAAAGCAAGCUAUUUCUCCCUCAGAUUUUAUAGUGUCAAUAUGAAUUGGUUCUUGAGUUUCAUGAAAGUAUGCUAUUUCUCCCUCAGAUUUUAUGGUGAGGCGCACAAAAGGUAAUGAAAUUCGGCCUCACCUUGAGGACCCCAGCUGGAUUUCGUGUCAAUAUGAAUUGGUUCUUGAUUUAUUUGCCUACUUGUUUUUGUUAGUUAUCUCGUUCUGAUGGAAGAAGAUAUUACCAGCCUUUCUUGCUUCCAGGUACACAAAUCUGGGAAUUUCUUUGAAAUCUGUGUGAUAUCCCUUCCCAAAUUCGGUGACACUUUCUAGGUGGUUACUUCAAUAAUGAUGAGGAUAUUAGUUCCCCUCGAUACAAAAUGACUGUUAGAAGCACCAAUGGACCCAUUGUACGUGUAUCUCUUGAGGUAACAUUCACAACAUAUGUGCAGUUUCAUAACGCCCACUAGAUGAUGCUUGUAGCAAAUCCAAACAAGGCAAGGAUGUUACUGUUGAGCAUGUUGAACCAAUGGAUAAAACUGCUUGGAACAGUAUUCAAUGCAGAGAGCAAGAUGCAGUGUUGUCUUCAGAGUGUCAGGGUAGCAGUUGUGAGACAUUCAGCUCACUAACUUUAGAAGCAUCUGGGAUUUAUAAGUUAAUUCCUAGACCAUGCAAAUUAAGUAGUGGAAGCUUCAAAUUGGCUUCAUAAGAGUUUACUAAUUUUUAGUUUGCUCCUGCACAUGCACUUCUAUACACUUGUUUUGGCGUUUGGUUAUAUGGGAGGGAAACUUGACUAACCUGUUUGCAUGUGAUCCAUCCUGUUGCAGAUUAUUGAUUAUUAUUGGUUCCCAACAGAUGAUUCAGUCAGCGUUUCAGAAUUGUGGUUUGAUAGUUUCUCUUAACACUUUGUUGGAUUCAUUAAGUUCUGGUUUUUGAAAUAUCUGGAUCUGCCAUGAGGAAUCCGGAGGCUUAACUUAUCACUGCUGACCUUCAUAUUGUUUAUCACAUGCUAUACCACUGACAUCGAGGAUUUUUUUUCCUCUUGGAUGGCCUCCUCGUCGCUUCUGCAAUGAACGUCAAGAGAAGUUCAUAGUGUAAAUGAAAAUCAGGCAGUAGGCCGUUCAUGAUGCCCGGAAGGAAUCUAAUCAUCAUGCAACGCCAUGUGAAGGACCGUAUCUCGGCCUUGGGUCUCUAUGCUGGGCUUGGAGAUUCAAGAGCCAGUGGGCGUUUAACCAUCUAGCUGCUCGUGUUGAUCAGCUACCCAAACAAUCCUUGUUGAAAAAAUGGGCCAUUUUCUCGACGGCUCUGGUGUUGAUGGGUCAUAAUCUAAUAGCUGAGGGUGUGGCUCCUGGGCUCUUGCAUCCGUCAGCAGCCUAACCUUCUAAUUAUCACUGAAUUCCGCAAAAAUUCAUUGAGUUUUCAUGCCA